This 2241-nucleotide unclassified non-coding RNA is filed under the name Leishmania donovani. RNAcentral describes it as "gene:LdHU3.26.0620(CDS-product:DNA_polymerase_sig ma-like_protein)". Lineage: Eukaryota; Euglenozoa; Kinetoplastea; Trypanosomatida; Trypanosomatidae. The record is from RNAcentral.
CAAGUGCACCCUACCCCCUUCACACACACGCACACACAGAGGCCUCGCCGUCUCACGACUCGCGUCAUGUUUCGUACAUGGAUGAAUCCCGAAGACCUUGCUUCUCUCGAUCGAGCCAUAGAGCGCACCAUCACGCAUCAGCUGAGCAGCAGCUUUGCCCAGCCGCGGACAAGAAGCACAUCUUAUGCACAUCCGGCCCCCGAGGGGCAUCCGACACAGUCGUCGUCUGACGUCCCAGCUCCGUUGCCCAGCUCGCUGAGCGGCGACAACGCGCCGCCACAUUUCUUCCCUUACAAUCACCCCAGCCGCAUGCCGGCUGCUCGAAAAGAGCCCCACACGCCAGCGGGAGGGCCACACUUGGCAACUCCGCACGGGCAGCUCGAUCGAACCCCUCGCCGUGGCAACAUGGGCAAGGCUGCUGCCAACGUGGCGAACAAGCUCUCCCCUCACCCGGCGCGUCGCGAUGACGGAAAGGCGAUGGAUGGGCGGCACCCACGGUCGCCGCACAACGGGCGCAGUGACGUGUGCUCAAGCCGAACCCAUGGCGCACCGCGGCCACAAGCGAACCGUCACCACGGUAGCCGUCGCCGACGCAGCAGUGAUUCUAGCGCUGAUGACGAGGAUGGCCACCGUAGCGUUGGCUCCGGCGCGCGCCGCCCUCGCACAGAGACCGGCUCGGUGCUCGUGGCAGCAGCCUUGGGCCCUUCGCCCGUCUUGUCAUCCUCGCUGGGGAUCUCAUGUGAAAUUGUCCAGUCGCUGAUACCCCCCUCCUCUCUCGCCAGAUGCAUCCUUGCCUUCGACGCGAAGCUGAUCGAACUCCUCUACUGUCUCUCCCCUACGUCCGAGGAUCGCGAGACGAAGCUGCGCGUGUUCGAUGACAUCCGCACGACGAUGCAGCGAGCCGGCAUGGAUAUCCAGAUCUACGGCAGCCUCUGCACUGGGCUCGUGAUACCGGCAAGUGACGUGGACUGCGUCCUCAUGCGCAGCGGCGAUGAGCAGAUCGCUAGUGCCAUGUCAGCGAACUUGUCAUGCGCGAUGCUUACAAUCGCCUCCGCGGCCACCGGCUCCGUGCCUCCGAAGAGUCUCAAGGGGCCCCUCUCGACGGCUGUUCGGAUCGUGGCGGAGCGCAUGCGGAAGAGCCAGAGCUUCAUCCACGUAACCUCGAUUGCCCACGCGAAGGUGCCAAUAGUGAAGUGCCGCCACCGCCGCGAUGACGUAAAGGUGGAUCUGUCGUUCGAACAGAGCGGCUGCGUGUCCUCCAACUACCUGUGCGAGCUGCUCUGCGCGCCAGGCAACGAGAUGGCGCGACCGUUGAUCGUACUCGUGAAGGCACUGGUGAACAACUGCGGCCUCGACGAACCGAGCAUGGGCGGCCUCGGCUCCUUCCCGAUCUCGCUGCUCGUUCUCUGGUACCUGCAGCAGUGCGUGCGCACCCGCUUCUCGGCGGAGCUGCAGCGGAGCAUUGGCGCCCUUCUUGCCGGCUUCCUCAAGUACUACGGUACCGAGUUUGACUUCCGCCGCCUCGGCAUCGACUACGUGCAGCAGAAGACGUUCACCAAGCCACCGGCCGAUGAGCUCUACAUUGUGAACCCCAUCCGCCCCGAGACAAACUGCGCAAAGGCGGCUACCCUCUUCGCCACGCGCGUCAUGCCGCUCUUCCAGCGAGCCUCGGCCACAUUUGUGGGCCUCCUCGACGCCAACGCCUCCCCAGCGACAAUGGAGUCCCAACUGCUUCACUACUUUGCCAAGGCCACGUCGGAUGUGCGGAACUGGCGGGACGUGUCGCGGCGGGCGGCGAGGGAGCCGCAUCUCGUGCAAAACAUGUGGGACGCAGAAACGAACAUGUACGUUGGGGGUGUGCUGUGAUGAUGCAGCCGAGGUAGACUGGAAAAGCUCCACGGCGAGUAAAAGCUCCUGCAGACACCCACAACUCUCGGCGCAGGUGGCGAAGACCACGGCGACCGAUGACGCUGGCGGCAAGUGUGUGUCUGUGUGCGAGUGCCAUCAAACACCCCCGCGGGUGUGCUUCACGUGCGCGCCCAUGGCGUGGUGAUGGGCUCCUAAUAUGGUGAGGGAGGUCUCACAGCAGAUCCCGCGCGCCUGGAAGCAGGAGCGGGCGGUGGGGGUAAAGCGUAGUGACUUUCGACCUUUUCACUCGCACCCAUAAAACCUCCCUUUGCCCUUUCUCUGCCUGCCCCACUCCCUCACCCCUGUCGAUGUACCCCCCUCUCCCCCGCCAAG